UUUGUCUUUAUGGCAAAUGUGAGAUGCAGUGUAUGGAGUGUCAAUUUUCUAAUAUGAUAAAUUAACGAUUUAAGUCCUUCUUAAAUGAGGCCAUUUACCCAUAGAGGGUGCCAGGCCCGUAUAACGUUAAUGAUUAUUAGAUGGCAUUUCCAAAGAGUCGUGUUGCUUGAUAGUGCAGCACUAAGUGGGUGGUAAACUCCAUCUAAAACUAAAUAUAACCAUGAGACCGAUAGUAAACAAGUACCGUGAGGGAAAGUUGAAAAGAACUCUGAAUAGAGAGUUAAAUAGUACGUGAAACUGCUUAGAGGUUAAGCCCGAUGAACCUGAAUAUCCAAUAUAGAAAAUUCAUCAUUAUGAUUUUAAUAUAUUAUAAUAAUGGUGUGCAUUUUUUCUAUUGAGGACAUUGUAAUCUAUUAACAUAAAAAUUUAUCAUAAGAUCAGCAAUAGUUUAUUUAAAUUAUUUUGCUUGCAAUUUAACAUAGAAUAAAUGCUUUUGAUUUGAUAAAGUGUUGAUAGAUUUAAUAUAUAGUGCUUGAAUAAUAUUCUAUAAUAGCAUAUUAAUUAUUAAUUUUUAUGUUUUUUAUAUGCACUUAUAUGAUUAACAAUGCGAAAGAUUCAGGAUACCCUCGGGACCCGUCUUGAAACACGGACCAAGGAGUCUAACAUAUUUGCAAGUUAUUGGGAAAAACCUAAUAGCGUAAUUAACAUAACAUAAUGGGAUUAGUUUUUAGCCUAGUCUAUUAAUUCAAUCCCGGGGCGUUCUAAACAGUUAUGUAUAAUAAUAUUUAUAUUAUUUAUACCUCUAACUAGAGCGUACCUUGAGCAUAUAUGCUGUGACCCGAAAGAUGGUGAACUAUACUUGAUCAGGUUGAAGUCAGGGGAAACCCUGAUGGAAGACCGAAACAGUUCUGACGUGCAAAUCGAUUGUCAGAAUUGAGUAUAGGGGCGAAAGACCAAUCGAACCAUCUAGUAGCUGGUUCCCUCCGAAGUUUCC
RNAcentral lists this ribosomal RNA (994 nucleotides) under Lixophaga discalis. RNAcentral describes it as "partial 28S ribosomal RNA". It matches the Rfam family "Eukaryotic large subunit ribosomal RNA", at positions 120 to 971 of the family's 3401-position model. The record is from RNAcentral. Lineage: Eukaryota; Metazoa; Arthropoda; Insecta; Diptera; Tachinidae.